GAAAGUACAAAAGGGCGUACGGUGGAUGCCUAGGCUCUUACAGGCGAUGAAGGACGUGAUAAGCUGCGAUAAGCUGUGGGUAGGUGCAAAUGACCGUUGAUCCGCAGAUUUCCGAAUGGGACAACCCGGCAGGUUGAAGACCUGUCAUCCCGCUAAGCGGGAGGCUAACGAGGGGAACUGAAACAUCUUAGUACCCUCAGGAAAAGAAAAUAACAAUGAUUCCCCCAGUAGUGGCGAGCGAACGGGGAAGAGCCCAAACCGUGGAGGUCUCGGCCUUCACGGGGUUGUAGGACCACGACGUUGGACUUGGUUCGAUUAGAGGAACGUUUUGGAAAGAACGACCAUAGAGAGUGACAGUCUCGUACUCGACAAUCGAAUCGGCCAUAGUGGUAUCCUGAGUAGGGCGGGACACGUGAAAUCCUGUCUGAAUCCGGCGGGCCCAUCCGCCAAGGCUAAAUACUCGUAAGAGACCGAUAGCGAACCAGUACCGUGAGGGAAAGGUGAAAAGCACCUCUGUCAGAGGAGUGAAAAAGUUCCUGAAACCGUACGCCUACAAGCGGUCGGAGCAUCUUUAUGAUGUGACGGCGUGCCUUUUGCAUAAUGAACCUACGAGUUGCCGUCGUCGGCAAGGUUAAGCGCAAUGAUGCGCGCAACCGAAGCGAAAGCGAGUCUGAAUAGGGCGCAUAGUCGGCGGUGGCAGACGCGAAACCAAGUGAUCUACCCUUGUCCAGGUUGAAGUCCCGGUAACACGGGAUGGAGGACCGAACCGAUAAGCGUUGAAAAGCUUCCGGAUGAGGUGAGGGUAGGAGUGAAAGGCCAAUCAAACUUGGAGAUAGCUCGUACUCCCCGAAAUGCAUUUAGGUGCAGCCUCGGGCGUUCCCUGUGUGAGGUAGAGCGACUGAUUGGAUGCGAGGGCUUCACCGCCUAUCAAGUCCAGACAAACUCCGAAUGCACACAGGCUAAGCCCGGGAGUGAGGGCGUGGGUGCUAAGGUCCACGCCCGAGAGGAGAAGAAUCCUGAUCACCGGCUAAGGCCCCGAAAUCCGGGCUAAGUUAAACUAACGAAGUGUGGUCCCCGUGACAGCUAGGAUGUUGGCUUGGAAGCAGCCAUUCAUUCAAAGAGUGCGUAACAGCUCACUAGUCGAGGGACUGUGCAUGGAUAAUAAUCGGGUAUGAAGCCCGGUGCCGAAGCCGUGGGAUGUCUUAUGACAUCGGUAGGGGAGCAUUCAUGCGGCCUUGAAGCCCAAGGGACGACCUUGGGUGGAGCUUCAUGAAAAGCAAAUGUAGGUAUAAGUAACGAUAAAGAGUGUGAGAUGCACUCUCGCCGAAAGACUAAGGUUUCCGGGGCAACGUUAAUCGGCCCCGGGUCAGUCGGGACCUAAGGCUCAUCCUAAUGGAGAGGCCGAUGGCAGAAACGGUUAAUAUUCCGUUACUAUCCUUUGGGGCGAUGUGGAGACGGAGAAGUGACACUUCCGCGGGCUGACGGAAUAGCCCGUUAAAGAUCGUAGGCGUCGACGAGGGCAGGCAAAUCCACCCUCUGAGCUGAAAGUCGAUAGUAUGCAGCGUCUUCGGACAAUGCAAUAGUGAAGGUAAGCAUACUCCCGAGAAAAUCCGCUAAGCUUAACCCAUUGGAUACCCGUACCGCAAACGGACACACGUAGUCGGGUAGAAUAUACUAAGGCGCUUGGAAGAUUCAUGGUUAAGGAACUAGGCAAAUUGACCCCGUACGUUCGCAAUAAGGGGUCCUCGUCGCAAGGCGAGGCGCAGAGAAUAGGUCCAGGCAACUGUUUAACAAAAACACAGGGCUGUGCAAAAUCGAAAGAUGAAGUAUACAGUCUGACACCUGCCCGGUGCCGGAAGGUUAAGAGGAGAGCUCAGAUGCAAGUCGAAGGUUUGAAUUGAAGCCCCGGUAAACGGCGGCCGUAACUAUAACGGUCCUAAGGUAGCGAAAUUCCUUGUCGGGUAAGUUCCGACCUGCACGAAUGGUGUAAUGAUCCGGACACUGUCUCAACCAUGAUUCCAGUGAAAUUGUAGUAUCGGUGAAGAUGCCGAUUACCCGCGAUGGGACGAAAAGACCCCGUGAACCUUUACUAUAGCUUAACGUUGUAACCGGGCAGUCGAUGUGUAGGAUAGGCCGGAGACUUUGAAGCGGGCACGCCAGUGUUCGUGGAGUCGCUGUUGAAAUACGGCCCUUCGGCUGUCUGGUUCCUAACUCCCUUGAUGGGAGGACCGCGUUUGGUGGGUAGUUUGACUGGGGUGGUCGCCUCCAAAAGCGUAACGGAGGCUUCUAAAGGUACCCUCAGACCGAUUGGUAACCGGUCGUAGAGUGUAAUGGCACAAGGGUGCUUGACUGGGAGACUAACAAGUCGCACAGGUAGGAAACUAGAGCAUAGUGAUCCGGUGGUUCCGUAUGGAAGGGCCAUCGCUCAAAGGAUAAAAGGUACUCCGGGGAUAACAGGCUGAUCCCUCCCAAGAGCUCAUAUCGACGGAGUGGUUUGGCACCUCGAUGUCGGCUCGUCACAUCCUGGGGCUGGAGAAGGUCCCAAGGGUUGGGCUGUUCGCCCAUUAAAGUGGCACGCGAGCUGGGUUCAGAACGUCGUGAGACAGUUCGGUCUCUAUCUAUCGUGGGCGCAGGAAAUUUGCGUGGCUCUGACACUAGUACGAGAGGACCGUGUUGGACUGACCUCUGGUUUACCGGUUGUGGCGCCAGCCGCACCGCCGGGUAGCUAAGUCGGGAUCGGAUAAGCGCUGAAAGCAUCUAAGUGCGAAGCCGGCCACAAGAUUAGAUUUCCUUAUGAGGGUCGUUGUAGACGACAACGUUGAUAGGGUGCAGGUGUAAAGACGGUGACGUCAAAGCCGAGCACUACUAAUCGCCCGAAACUUUCCUUU
This 2888-nucleotide ribosomal RNA is filed under the name human oral metagenome. Its description in RNAcentral is "bacterial LSU rRNA". It matches the Rfam family "Bacterial large subunit ribosomal RNA". The record is from RNAcentral.